This 347-nucleotide unclassified non-coding RNA is filed under the name soil metagenome. RNAcentral's name for it is "partial contains 5.8S ribosomal RNA, internal transcribed spacer 2, and large subunit ribosomal RNA". The stretch from base 1 to 120 matches the Rfam family "5.8S ribosomal RNA", at positions 35 to 154 of the family's 154-position model. The record is from RNAcentral.
GAUGAAGAACGUAGCGAAAUGCGAUAAGUAAUGUGAAUUGCAGAAUUCAGUGAAUCAUCGAAUCUUUGAACGCACAUUGCGCCCGCCAGUAUUCUGGCGGGCAUGCCUGUCUGAGCGUCAUUUCAACCCUCACGCCCCUAGGGCGUGGUGUUGGGGAUCGGCCAAAGCCCGCGAGGGCGGCCGGCCCCUAAAUCUAGUGGCGGACCCGUCGUGGCCUCCUCUGCGAAGUAGUGAUAUUCCGCAUCGGAGAGCGAUGAGCCCCUGCCGUUAAACCCCCAACUUUCCAAGGUUGACCUCAGAUCAGGUAGGAAUACCCGCUGAACUUAAGCAUAUCAAUAAGCGGAGGA